CCCUGCGGAACAAAGCGCAGAAGUGCCUGCAUCAUCUAAACAAUCUACAGUUUUUAAGAUAGAUGCAAAAACUGUUACAUUGGGGACAACUGAAAUUAAUCCAGAAACGAAUAUUAAAGAAUCUGUUACAUCGUCGACAGCCCAUAAGAUAUCAUCAUAUGAAAGUGUUUCCAGUUCUCCAGUCCAGUCAGUUAGAGACACAAAGUCUUAUAUAGGAUCUAAAUUUACAGGGGUCAGUAAGGUUUGAUGACAGAGCUUUAAAAUCCGGAGUUAGGGGAAGAAGCCAGGUACGAGAAGUCUUAACGACGAAAAAGGUAGUGUUCGGCAAUUCUCAGCAGUGGUAGCAGAUUAUGAUCCGUGGACGUUGGAAAGAUUUUUUUCUGUUUCAUUUAGGGCUAGUUUAUCAGAUCUAUGGACCGAAAAAGUACUGUAUGUGGUAUCUUGACAGUUAGCACAGGAAUUUUUAAGUUCUUUACAUGGCCUUAGAUAAAUUCUGCAUGAAUAUUUUCUGUUAGUUUUGAUACAAUAUUGAAUUCAAAAGACUGGACACAGCUGUAAUAGUUGAGCAAGUAGCAUAGGAACGAGCACCAAUUUCAGCGCAAAAACUCACACUAUCACUACCCUCAAGACAAGAAUCCAUGUUUUUUGGAUCUACUACUGUAUCCUAUCAACACUGGGAGUUGCAGUACAAGAUAAAGAAGG
Long non-coding RNA from Zophobas morio, 702 nucleotides. RefSeq lists it as uncharacterized. Lineage: Eukaryota; Metazoa; Arthropoda; Insecta; Coleoptera; Tenebrionidae. The transcript is spliced from 4 exons. The record is from RefSeq and is a predicted model, not a curated record.